CGUGGUAAUUCUAGAGCUAAUACAUGCUGAAAAUCCCGACUUCGGAAGGGAUGUGUUUAUUAGAUAAAAAACCAAUGCCCUUUCGGGGCUUUUUGGUGAUUCAUGAUAACUUUACGGAUCGCAUAGCCUUGCGCUGGCGACGGUUCAUUCAAAUUUCUGCCCUAUCAACUUUCGAUGGUAAGGUAUUGGCUUACCAUGGUUUCAACGGGUAACGGGGAAUUAGGGUUCGAUUCCGGAGAGGGAGCCUGAGAAACGGCUACCACAUCCAAGGAAGGCAGCAGGCGCGCAAAUUACCCAAUCCCGACACGGGGAGGUAGUGACAAUAAAUACUGAUACAGGGCUCUUUUGGGUCUUGUAAUUGGAAUGAGUACAAUUUAAACCUCUUAACGAGGAACAAUUGGAGGGCAAGUCUGGUGCCAGCAGCCGCGGUAAUUCCAGCUCCAAUAGCGUAUAUUAAAGUUGUUGCAGUUAAAAAGCUCGUAGUUGAAACUUGGGUCUGGCUGGCGGGUCCGCCUCACCGCGUGCACUCGUCCGGCCGGGCCUUCCUUCUGAAGAACCUCAUGCCCUUUACUGGGCGUGUUGGGGAAUCAGGACUUUUACUUUGAAAAAAUUAGAGUGUUCAAAGCAGGCCUUUGCUCGAAUACGUUAGCAUGGAAUAAUAAAAUAGGGCGUGCGUUUCUAUUUUGUUGGUUUCUAGAGACGCCGCAAUGAUUAACAGGAACAGUCGGGGGCAUCAGUAUUCAGUUGUCAGAGGUGAAAUUCUUGGAUUUACUGAAGACUAACUACUGCGAAAGCAUUUGCCAAGGAUGUUUUCAUUAAUCAGUGAACGAAAGUUAGGGGAUCGAAGACGAUCAGAUACCGUCGUAGUCUUAACCGUAAACUAUGCCGACUAGGGAUCGGGCGAUGUUCUUUUUCUGACUCGCUCGGCACCUUACGAGAAAUCAAA
Molecule: ribosomal RNA, 946 nt
Filed under: Bipolaris sorokiniana
Lineage: Eukaryota; Fungi; Ascomycota; Dothideomycetes; Pleosporales; Pleosporaceae
Description: SSU rRNA
Rfam family: Eukaryotic small subunit ribosomal RNA
Source: RNAcentral